GUUUGUGUAUAUUUGCUGUUUGUUACUUUUUAACACACACCAGUACAUCAAUGUGGAUGAACCUGCCUAUAGCUUUACUCUUGGUUUCUGGAUCACGUAUAUUGUUUAAUGAAGUGGAGUUCCGCUGGAAAGUUCGGAAUGUCCGACCACCAACAUACUUGGCGCACUUAGAAAAGAAGCAGCUAUCUAUGAAUGAUAGCCGACUUUCUACCUCACCGCCCACACUGAAAUGGAAGAGAAAAAUCGGU
This 248-nucleotide unclassified non-coding RNA is filed under the name Hevea brasiliensis (rubber tree). The record is from RNAcentral. Lineage: Eukaryota; Viridiplantae; Streptophyta; Magnoliopsida; Malpighiales; Euphorbiaceae.